RNAcentral lists this transfer RNA (70 nucleotides) under Phyllobacterium pellucidum. RNAcentral describes it as "Phyllobacterium sp. BT25 tRNA-Lys". It matches the Rfam family "tRNA". Rfam says of the family: Transfer RNA (tRNA) molecules are approximately 80 nucleotides in length. The record is from RNAcentral. Lineage: Bacteria; Pseudomonadati; Pseudomonadota; Alphaproteobacteria; Hyphomicrobiales; Phyllobacteriaceae.
GGGUAUGAAAGGGUAUCUGAGCUGACUUUUAAUCAGUAGGUCCAGGGUUCGAAUCCCUGCGCGCUCACCA